Molecule: regulatory RNA element, 126 nt
Rfam family: SAM riboswitch aptamer (S box leader)
About the family: The SAM riboswitch is found upstream of a number of genes which code for proteins involved in methionine or cysteine biosynthesis in Gram-positive bacteria. The SAM riboswitch acts at the level of transcription termination control.
Source: Rfam
UUCUUAUCGAGAGAGGCUGAGGGAUAGGCCCUAUGAUGCCCAGCAACCGGACAUUCCAUAAGUGUACACGGUGCUAAUUCCUACAAACGUAGAGUAAUUAAAACUUUGAGUUUGAGAAGAUAAGAA